RNAcentral lists this long non-coding RNA (2032 nucleotides) under Phasianus colchicus (ring-necked pheasant). RNAcentral's name for it is "lncRNA (ENSPCLG00000016135.1)". The record is from RNAcentral. Lineage: Eukaryota; Metazoa; Chordata; Aves; Galliformes; Phasianidae.
CAGACGUUACGCAAUGCCGAAGCCCCUCUGCCCUGCUGAGCGCCGUGGUGCGAGCGGCGCUGGCUUUUCUGCAAAGCAAAGGAAGCAAUUGAGCCGCGUGCUUGCAAAACCAAGCCGUGGCAAGGCCUGAUCCGCGUUAUAACGAAACACUUUCUGCAUCCCAAUGGCUCUGGGCUCUGUGAGCAGCGCCUUCGCUCUGCCACCUGCUGCCAGCUGGGGAGUGGGUACCGGCUCUGGCCCCCUGCACCUCCAAAUGCGUCUGAAAUAAGAAAUAAUACUCAGGUGUCUGAGGGCAGAGCUUUAUUACACUCUGUUUGCUGAGAGCUCCUUCCUUUGGCAAGACCACAAAGAGCGUGGAAGGAAAUGAACGUUAACGUUUGGCACACGUUUUGUAAUAUUGCAUAUAGGGAGGUAAAUGCCACAGGUACGUGUGCCAUUUUAUAAAGAAACGCUUCUGGCAGGAAAGCAAUUUUGUACCCAGUUACAUGGCCCGACUGAGAUCAGCGUUAGGAAUGCGUGGUAAUAUUUGGCCAUCUGCUGAUCAGAGCAAGAACUGCACGGUGUCCAUCUCAGAAGGGCGACGUUAAGAUCUGCCAUACAGCAUCGUGACAGAUGGAAAUUCAUCCCUUGAAAUUCCUAGAAAAGGACAGAAUAGCACCUGUACGCGUGCUGUGGGACAGCGGGCUGAGAGGAAGGUGGGGGACGUUUUGCCCCUACAGGUGAGAAAAUGGGCUGAGCUCUGACCCACGAGUUGGAGCCGCUCCUCCGUGCGGAUGCAGCCGGGAGAGCUUCGGUCAAAUCUGCUUAUUUCAUCCUCCGCCCAUUAGAGGGAGCCUGCAGACGUUGUCAUCCCUGCCAUCCCAAGAAAGAUUGCGGAGGUGUUCGGGGGGAGUGAACAACGAGGACUUAGAAACACAGAGUGUGAUUGAAUUGCAGCUGCUGUCUGCCCCAGGCGAUAUGCACUAUUGGUUUUGCUGGAAGUUCCUCCAGCUUCAAGAAGAAUUUGGGACUUCUGUAGGGCAGGAGCAGCCCCUGCAGCCCAUGUUGGAAGGAAGGUGUCCUGCCUGCUUGUGCUGCUUGUGCUGUAGCUAGCUGCUAAUUACAAAGACUAAGAACCCUCUCUGCUGACAUUGCUGCAGACAGAUUCACAGACUCCUGGCUUCCAGGGAAUACUGAGAUCUCUGAUGUAGAGCACAGUGGGAUGAUAAGGAUGGAUCUGCUCCUUCAGCUAGCAACUGAAGUAGGAUAUAACAAUGGAAUUAAUUCUAAAUUGCUUAACUACUUGAAGAGCUAUUACUUCUUUUAAUUACAAGAAAGCCAGAGGAAAUCAAUAUGAUUUAAUUUUGACUAAAAACUCAAUCAGCGUAACUAUGUGUUUCAUUUAUUACAGAAGUGACAGAACAUUACUGUACUUUGUGAUGCUUUACCUGCCUGAAAACUCUGUGCUUUGUUUAUCCUGGCCAUUAUAGUGGCAGUCCAUGGUUUGGACUUAUUGCUCAGCAGCUGCCUGAAGGACCAAGCAGGGUCCUACACCUUGUUUUUACAUUAUAACCCCCAUGGCAGGACCAGCCCCCUGCUCACCAAGCUAAACAAUGCUUUGCUUUGGCAUUGCUUAUUAAUUACACUUGUCGGACCCUCUGAGUAUCACAGCCCUUUGUGGAGCAUUGCUGCCCACGGGCACAGCGGGGAGAUGGAAUGGGCACUGUGCUGCAAAACCUUACUGAAAUGUGGGAAGAUGGAGAAGGAAAUGGGAACAAAAGGAACAGCUGGAUGGGUUGGUUUCUGAGCGCUUCAAGCAAGCAGUGAAUGGUGCAGCUGUAGAAUGCCUUUGUCUUGCUGCUCCUGGCUUUUUUGCCUUUGUAGUCAGAGUUUAUUUUUUAGCUAGUAUUUUUAGCAUUGUUCCAGUUCAGUAGCAUUUAACCUUGCUGCUAUAAUAACUGCUGCAGAAAUUGUCAGGAGGGAAUUUAUUCUGUCUUUGUGAAUCUGUUUGUACAGUAUAAAAUAAAGAAAGCCUGAAGCAAACUAUUGAACA